RNAcentral lists this ribosomal RNA (253 nucleotides) under uncultured bacterium. RNAcentral describes it as "partial 16S ribosomal RNA". It matches the Rfam family "Bacterial small subunit ribosomal RNA", at positions 524 to 776 of the family's 1533-position model. The record is from RNAcentral.
UACGAGAGGCCCAAACGUUAUUCGGAAUUACUGGGCUUAAAGAGUUCGUAGGCGGCAUGAAAAGCAGGGUGUGAAAGCCCUCGGCUCAACCAAGGAAUUGCGCUCUGAACUGUCGUGCUUGAGGAACCUAGAGGUGAGCAGAACAGAUGGUGGAGCGGUGAAAUGCGUUGAUAUCAUCUGGAAUACCGGAGGCGAAGGCGGCUCACUGGGGGUUUUCUGACGCUGAGGAACGAAAGCCAGGGUAGCGAACGGG